Molecule: transfer RNA, 70 nt
Filed under: Agenocimbex maculatus
Lineage: Eukaryota; Metazoa; Arthropoda; Insecta; Hymenoptera; Cimbicidae
Description: tRNA-Trp
Source: RNAcentral
AAGAUUUUAAGUUAAAUAAACUAAAAACCUUCAAAGUUUUAAAUAAAAUAAUAAUUAAUUUUAAAUCUUA